Molecule: transfer RNA, 69 nt
Filed under: Geckolepis petiti
Lineage: Eukaryota; Metazoa; Chordata; Lepidosauria; Squamata; Gekkonidae
Description: tRNA-Asp
Source: RNAcentral
GAGACUCUAGUAAAUAAAUUACAUAGCUCUGUCAGCGCUAAAUUAUAGGCACACCCCCUUUGAGACUCA